RNAcentral lists this non-coding RNA (113 nucleotides) under Anaerobacillus arseniciselenatis. RNAcentral describes it as "TPP sequence". It matches the Rfam family "TPP riboswitch aptamer (THI element)". Rfam says of the family: Vitamin B(1) in its active form thiamin pyrophosphate (TPP) is an essential coenzyme that is synthesised by coupling of pyrimidine and thiazole moieties in bacteria. The previously detected thiamin-regulatory element, thi box was extended, resulting in a new, highly conserved RNA secondary structure, the THI element, which is widely distributed in eubacteria and also occurs in some archaea. Analysis of operon structures identified a large number of new candidate thiamin-regulated genes, mostly transporters, in various prokaryotic organisms. Lineage: Bacteria; Bacillati; Bacillota; Bacilli; Caryophanales; Bacillaceae. The record is from Rfam by way of RNAcentral.
UUUCACAGUUGCGGGAGCCUAGAAGACUAGGUUGAGAAGUUGACUGAUCUGUCACAGACCGUUUAAACCUGAUCUGGAUCAUACCAGCGGAGGGAAGACUAUUCUAUGUACUU